UACGUAGGGUGCAGGCGUUAAUCGGAAUUACUGGGCGUAAAGCGUGCGCAGGCGGUUUUGUAAGUCAGAUGUGAAAUCCCCGGGCUUAACCUGGGAAUGGCAUUUGGGACUGCAAGGCUCGAGUGCGGCAGAGGAGACUGGAAUUCCUGGUGUAGCAGUGAAAUGCGUAGAUAUCAGGAGGAACACCGAUGGCGAAGGCAGGUCUCUGGGCUGACACUGACGCUCAUGCACGAAAGCGUGGGGAGCAAACAGG
Molecule: ribosomal RNA, 253 nt
Filed under: uncultured bacterium
Lineage: Bacteria
Description: partial 16S ribosomal RNA
Rfam family: Bacterial small subunit ribosomal RNA
Source: RNAcentral